Molecule: ribosomal RNA, 253 nt
Filed under: uncultured bacterium
Lineage: Bacteria
Description: partial 16S ribosomal RNA
Rfam family: Bacterial small subunit ribosomal RNA
Source: RNAcentral
UACGAAGGGGGCUAGCGUUGUUCGGAUUUACUGGGCGUAAAGCGCACGUAGGCGGAUCGUUAAGUCGGGGGUGAAAUCCUGGAGCUCAACUCCAGAACUGCCUUCGAUACUGGCGAUCUUGAGUCCGGAAGAGGUGAGUGGAACUCCUAGUGUAGAGGUGAAAUUCGUAGAUAUUCGCAAGAACACCAGUGGCGAAGGCGGCUCACUGGCCCGGUACUGACGCUGAGGCACGAAAGCGUGGGGAGCAAACAGG